Molecule: ribosomal RNA, 253 nt
Filed under: uncultured bacterium
Lineage: Bacteria
Description: partial 16S ribosomal RNA
Rfam family: Bacterial small subunit ribosomal RNA
Source: RNAcentral
UACGGAGGGUGCGAGCGUUGUCCGGAAUCAUUGGGCGUAAAGGGCGCGUAGGUGGCCCGGUCAGUCCGUGGUGAAAGCGCGGGGCUCAACCCCGCGUCGGCCAUGGAUACUGCUGGGCUGGAGCACUGUAGAGGCAGGCGGAAUUCCGGGUGUAGCGGUGGAAUGCGUAGAGAUCCGGAGGAACACCAGCGGCGAAGGCGGCAUCCUGGACUGGUCCUGACACUCAGGAGCGAAAGCGUGGGGAGCGAUCCGG